This 412-nucleotide ribosomal RNA is filed under the name Excirolana mayana. RNAcentral's name for it is "partial 16S ribosomal RNA". It matches the Rfam family "Bacterial large subunit ribosomal RNA", at positions 1961 to 2604 of the family's 2925-position model. Lineage: Eukaryota; Metazoa; Arthropoda; Malacostraca; Isopoda; Cirolanidae. The record is from RNAcentral.
AUAAUCACUUGCCUUUUAAUUGAAGGCUAGAAUGAAAGUACUGACGGGGGGCCACUGACUUAACCUUGGCAGACGAACUUGACCGCGGGGUUAAAAUGCCUCGACGCCCUAGAAGGACGACAAGACCCUAUAAAACUUUACUACCCUAGGUUACCACCCUAAGGCCACCAUUAAGACCGAACGUAGUUUAGCUGGGGCGGCCAACUCCCACCGGGAUCGUAACUUAACACCGUGCGUGACCCCUCGAACAUUUUUAAAUAGAAAGACCAAGUUACUUUAGGGAUAACAGCGCAAUAAUUUCGAAGAGCCCUCAUCGAUGAAAUUGUUUGCGACCUCGAUGUUGAAUUGGGGCCCCCCCCGGAGCAGCUCCCGGGAAUAGGAGGUCUGUUCGACCCUUGAUCCCCCACGUGAU